GCCUGGCUAGCUCAAUCGGUAGAGCGUCAGACUCUUAUCAAGAGUCAUGUCAUUUGAUAUCUGAAGGUUGUGGGUUCGACCCCCACGUUAGGCU
This is a non-coding RNA of Tulasnella sp. 332, 94 nucleotides long. Lineage: Eukaryota; Fungi; Basidiomycota; Agaricomycetes; Cantharellales; Tulasnellaceae. The record is from the annotation of a GenBank genome assembly.